RNAcentral lists this ribosomal RNA (306 nucleotides) under Triticum aestivum (bread wheat). RNAcentral's name for it is "partial small subunit ribosomal RNA". The record is from RNAcentral. Lineage: Eukaryota; Viridiplantae; Streptophyta; Magnoliopsida; Poales; Poaceae.
AUGCUGCUAAGGAUUAUGACUGAUGUUGAGCGUGAGGCCGUCGUUAGUGGUGGAGAUGAUGCUCGUGGUGUUCCAUUGAGUAGUGGGCACGAUGUUGGUACCAAAGAUGCUGAUGAGGAUGUUGGUGCUGCCAGCAUACUUGAUGCCAAAUUGUCUGGUGUUGGUUUUGCUGGGAAUGAAAAUCUUUCUGAUUGUAAAGAUUUGCCGCCGAAAAUUUCCCGCCUGGAGGGCUUGAUUACGGUGAUGCAUUGCAAGAUGCCUCUAGCGUGGAGGAGGAACUCCUGUCGUCAAACGUUGAUAGUGUAG